GAUUUCUGGUGUUUUACUCUUAGCCCACCACGGUUACGUGUGUGAGUGCCUAGAUGUAUGCACCAUCCUUCUAGUUAUAACAGCUAGUUCAGCUCUUCAUUGAGUUGGAUUAGUAUGUGUCUAGAUCUUUUACUUUGAAAAAAUUAGAGUGUUUAAAGCAGGCUUUUGCUAUGAAUACAUUAGCAUGGAAUAAUAAUUUAGGACUUUGUUUCUAUUUUGUUGGUUUCUAGGGAUGAAGUAAUGAUUGAUAGGGAUAGUUGGGGGUGCUAGUAUUCAGUGGCCAGAGGUGAAAUUCUCGGAUUCACUGAAGACUAACUUAUGCGAAAGCAUU
Molecule: ribosomal RNA, 331 nt
Filed under: uncultured Bodomorpha
Lineage: Eukaryota; Cercozoa; Glissomonadida
Also listed under: 1 other name
Description: SSU rRNA
Rfam family: Eukaryotic small subunit ribosomal RNA
Source: RNAcentral